This 2808-nucleotide long non-coding RNA is filed under the name Fukomys damarensis (Damara mole-rat). RNAcentral describes it as "lncRNA (ENSFDAG00000028947.1)". The record is from RNAcentral. Lineage: Eukaryota; Metazoa; Chordata; Mammalia; Rodentia; Bathyergidae.
CUGAUUUUAUAGAUUCAAGGCUGGACCUUGUUUUUGUUGUUUGGCAUUAUAGUAUAUAAAAAUUGUCUGUGUCAUUAGACUUCAUAAAUAUUUUGAUUGGAUAAGAAUUAUUCCAUUAAAAUAUAGCUGAUUUAAGAAAACAUUUUAUUAAAGUUGCAAUUCCAGGGACUUUUGCAACUACUGCUUUCAUAAUAACACCGAUGUACAUCUACAUCUUCAUGGUGACUCUAUGUCUUAUUUCUUUAGGAACAAUUUCUGAAAGGAAAAAAAUCCUAGAGAACAUUAAUUUCCUUCCAUCAUUUUAUUUAUUUGGUACCGGGGAUCAAACUGGGGCCCUUGUGCUUGCGAGGCAGGCAGCAGAACCAUUGAGCCGAAUCUCCGGCCCCAUGCUCCUGUUAUUUUAAACGACAGUACAUUGCCCAAAGAAAGGACUAUUUUUAAAACUUGAGCCGAAUUCAGUUAAUAAUACCUUUUGGUCCCAAAGGAAAAAAAAAAAAUCUUGAUCUGUAAGAUCCUACAACAAAGGAAUAGUCACUUCUUAUAAUUUCGACCAUCUGUGAGCUCAAGUUUUCAGAGAGGAAGGAGAUUCCUCAAUGAGAGGUUUUUUCCUACACUCCAGGACUAGCUAGACUCCUCCCAAAGGUCCUGUUAAAGGACCAAAGUCAAUGUAUAUUUUCUCACCAGGUUCCUCUUUGGUCAGGGCACAACUGAUGGUCAAGUCCCUUUUCUGGGACUGGAUCUACCUUCUGAGUAACAUUUGUUCGGGACCGGGAUGCCCAAGUCUAAAUACAGUGGGACAAGGUAACCAAGUAACUUAGCUUGUAAACAGUAGGUCUGGGAGAGACUGCGCACGCGCCGCCCGUUUGGGGCUUUGCCGCGGGCCAGAACCUGUAGCUCCGCCCCCGACGUCUGGGCGCCUGUCCUGCGCUCGGCCCGGAGCCGGAGGACCGGUCACGAAGGUCGUGACGGUCACAGGAUGCGGCUCUCGAGAUCCCGGGGCCGACCCGCUUGGGGUUGACGGAGAGGCUUCGGGGCCUUUUCCAGAGCCCGGGCCGCCCGCGUUCCGUGAGCCGGGGGAAGAAAGGCUCCAGGCGCCCCAGGCACGUGGAGCCUGCAGAAGCCAAAAGGGAAGCCCAUUUGGGGCCUGGGCCACAGACAGCAACAAGGCCCAGCCUGUCUGCAACGCGGGGCGACACUUCCUGAGAGGACCAAGCCCAAAGCAGAAUGAAUCCUCCUGUGAACCUCCUCAGCCUGGUUUUUCCUCUUCUUUGUCUCGCUACCCAAGAAUACCGUUUCAGGCCACUGAACUUCAUCUCUUCCUUUCAGGACCAAACCUGCACCAGGAAGGAUUUGGUCUUGUGGGUUUCACAGCCCCUUUCUCUGCGUGUUCUAAAAUGCCGCCUUGCCUAGGAACGGCCUGCUGUCAGUUCCCCCUGUGUUGGGAAUGUUGGAUUUGGAAAUAGAGGGCCUGGUGUUUUGACGCAUGAAACUGGGCAGAUUUUUUGAACCUCUGUGAGCUCUAAUUUCUUGUAAACAUGGGUAUAAUGACACUCGCCUCCUUGAACAGUGACUCAGUAAUCUGCGGUGGCUGCUAGUGAACACAGGCUGCUCCACACUCCAGUGCCACUGUGGGGGUCAUUCCUUGUCUCUACCCCAAGGAGGGGUGUAUUACUUUCUCUACUUUAUAGGUGAAGAACUGGAGAGUUACAGACCUGAGUAACUUGCUUCAUAUAAUCCAAUGGCAAGUGGCAACGUUGAAACCUGUUUUCUUAGUCGUGGUGUCAGAAUGAGAAAAGCACAUGCUUUCAUGGCUCAGACUUUAGCCUAAAGAAGUGGAGGCUGGCCAGGGAUGAGAUAAUUGAUUCUCAGGCACGCUUGAAAUAGAAUCUUUGUGUAUUAGGCCGUAGUGAGUCUUAACAGUCCUAGCAGUCACCAGAGAAUCCAUGGCACAUAGACCAUGUGCUCUCAGUGAUGACGGCCCACAGUUGAACUUGGCCAGCCACACUGUUUUUGUAAGAAAAGUUUUAACUGAAAUAUAACCACCUUCAUUUCCUGACAAAUUGUCUAUGGUCACUUUGGGAGCAAUACCAAGAGAUGGACGAAGGGAGAUGGGAGGGGAGAGGAAAGGCAUGCGAAAAGAGGAUGUGUUAUGUGCUUGUGCCUAUGCCUCCCAUAAUGUAGUCAUAUACUGCUAAUGUGGACUAAUAAAGUUGUUUGCAAAAUGUGAAAUAUUCUGGUCCUUUACGGAAAGAUUUUGCUGAUCUCUGAUGUUACAGAUCAUGUUUUCUGAUCAUCAGUGAUAGAAAUAAAUAGAUUAGGGGAAAAAAAAACCCAGUAGGUUUGUAGCCAUGCACCCAGUGGUUUUCUGUAACCCUUGGCUGACCCAGCCCUAAUUACCAUGUCAUUGCUUAUGCAGAUUUGACCUCCUGUGGACUUUGGACACCAUGACAACUCCUGUAAAUGCUAUAAAAGGUUUUUUUUAAAAAAAGCAGGGGGUGUAGGGAUUUAGUUCAGUUGCACCAUACCUACCUCGAAAGCACAAGGUCCUGAAUUCCAUCCUUGUAAAAAAAAAAAAUAAUAAAAUAAAAAGAAUAUUGCUUCUCUGCCCUUCGGCUAAGAUCAAGUGUAAAAGGUAGAAAAACUGCUCCACCAUCUGAUGAAAGGGCUAAGUCAAGCUCCUUACUGUUCAGACCAAACCCUCAAUCUCACCACAAACCCUAAAGGUUUAAAAUAUCAAGCCCUUCUCACUGGUCCACUCCCACAUGUGGUGUAUCUUGUCUUUUCUUUUUCAAAUAAAUCAUUGACCCU